CCUACGGGUGGCUGCAGUGAGGAAUAUUGGUCAAUGGGCGGGAGCCUGAACCAGCCAAGUCGCGUGCGGGAUGACGGCCCUAUGGGUUGUAAACCUCUUUUGUCGGGGCGCAAAGUGCCGCCCGUGUGCGGUUUGGAGAGUACCCGGAGAACAAGCAUCGGCUAACUCCGUGCAAGCAGCCGCGGUAAUACGGAGGAUGCGAGCGUUAUCCGGAUUUAUUGGUGUGCAAGGGUGCGUAGGCGGAGGCUUAAGUCAGCGGUAAAAUUGCGGGGCUCAACCUCGUCGAGCCGUUGAAACUGGGUGCCUUGAGUGGGCGAGAAGUACGCGGAAUGCGGGGUGUAGCGGUGAAAUGCAUAGAUAUCACGCAGAACUCCGAUUGCGAAGGCAGCGUACCGGCGCCCAACUGACGCUGAAGCACGAAGGCGGGGGUAUCGAACAGGAUUAGAUACCCUAGUAGUC
This 459-nucleotide ribosomal RNA is filed under the name uncultured bacterium. RNAcentral's name for it is "partial 16S ribosomal RNA". It matches the Rfam family "Bacterial small subunit ribosomal RNA", at positions 338 to 795 of the family's 1533-position model. The record is from RNAcentral.